This 402-nucleotide ribosomal RNA is filed under the name bacterium enrichment culture clone LE_16S_T_1. RNAcentral describes it as "bacterial SSU rRNA". It matches the Rfam family "Bacterial small subunit ribosomal RNA", at positions 338 to 729 of the family's 1533-position model. The record is from RNAcentral.
CCUACGGGAGCCAGCAGUGGGGAAUUUUGGACAAUGGGCGAAAGCCUGAUCCACGCAAUCCCGCGUGUGUGAAGAAGGCCUUCGGGUUGUAAAGCACUUUUGUCCGGAAAGAAAUCCUCGGGUCUAAUCACAGUCGGGGGAUGACGGUAGCCGGAAGAAUAAGCACCGGCUAACUACGUGCCAGCAGCCGCGGUAAUACGUAGGGUGCAAGCGUUAAUCGGAAUUACUGGGCGUAAAGCGUGCGCAGGCGGUUUCCUAAGACCGAUGUGAAAUCCCCGGGCUCCACCUGGGAACUGCAUUGGUGACUGGCAGGCUAGAGUAUGGCAGAGGGGGGUAGAAUUCCCCGGGUAGCAGUUAAAUGCCUAGAGAUGUGGAGGAAUACCGAUGGCGAAGGCAGCCCCC